Molecule: ribosomal RNA, 253 nt
Filed under: uncultured bacterium
Lineage: Bacteria
Description: partial 16S ribosomal RNA
Rfam family: Bacterial small subunit ribosomal RNA
Source: RNAcentral
UACGUAGGGGGCAAGCGUUGUCCGGAAUCAUUGGGCGUAAAGCGAGCGUAGGCGGCCCGAUAAGUCUGCUGUGAAAGUCAACGGCUCAACCGUUGAAAGCCGGUGGAUACUGUCGGGCUAGAGUUCGGAAGAGGCAAGUGGAAUUCCUGGUGUAGCGGUGGAAUGCGCAGAUAUCAGGAGGAACACCCAUAGCGAAGGCAGCUUGCUGGGACGAUACUGACGCUAAGGCUCGAAAGCGUGGGGAGCGAACAGG